Non-coding RNA from Phrynosoma platyrhinos (Desert horned lizard), 72 nucleotides. NCBI's taxonomy places the organism in Eukaryota, Metazoa, Chordata, Lepidosauria, Squamata, Phrynosomatidae. The record is from the annotation of a GenBank genome assembly.
GCCAGCAUGGUAUAAUGGGUUGAGUGUUGGACUAGGACUCUCAAGGCCAGGGUUCAAAUUCCAGUUUUGCCA